GGACAGCUGAGUGGGGGGUAUAAUAAUGUUCUCUGGUAUUUAGGAACUUCAAAUUUAGUUAAGUAUGUCACAGGGGAGGGAGAAUACCUAUUCGAUUUAUAGACUCUAAAGGCUGAGGUCCUGACUAGAGCCAAUUGGGCACUCUGUAUCUGCUACAUGCUGCUUAAUGAGUAUUUUGGCCUGAUGGUAUACCAUGCUGGAGAAAAGCCCAGGGAUGACAUUUUACCACUGCCUGUUUCCGUUUGGAUUGUUAAUGAGCAAGCCAAGGAGAAAUAAAGAAUAAUUUGAGCCAGACGGGUCCUCAAAAGAAGGAAAGAUAGCUCAAUGGGAGAGAGUGUCUGUAAGCAGAAGAACUGGAUUCCCUGACCUGUCUGGGUUCAAUGGAUUGGGUAGCUGGAGAACUGCUGCCAAUCAGAGCAAAACAAUUCAAGGUCAAAUGAGCAAUAUUUUGACCUGGUAUAAGGCUUCCUUCUAUGUAAAACCUUCUGGCCUGUCUCUUCUGACAGUGGUUUCACUCUGAGGAGAAGUACAUGAUGAAAACAGCAGUACUGUAUUCCCAUUUCUCUUUCAGCCAGAUAUUACAUCUUGAUACUGAACAAAAGACAGGGCAUGCUUAUUUGUUUUUGUGGGCUUUGAUUCAUUGAUCUCUUUUUAAAAAAAAACAACAACAAUGGGGCAAUUCUUUUUUUUAAAGGCUAACUUUCUAAAACGAAAAGAAAAAAAAGUUUUCACCUACAAGUGUGACAGCAGUCCUGCAUAUUUUGCACCCAAAAUAAAAAUUCUGUCUACAUAGAGG
Non-coding RNA from Pantherophis guttatus, 796 nucleotides. The record is from RefSeq and is a predicted model, not a curated record. Lineage: Eukaryota; Metazoa; Chordata; Lepidosauria; Squamata; Colubridae.